GACGACCGCUGGCGGCGUGCUUAACACAUGCAAGUCGAACGGAAAGGCCCUGCUUUUGUGGGGUGCUCGAGUGGCGAACGGGUGAGUAACACGUGAGUAACCUGCCCUUGACUUUGGGAUAACUUCAGGAAACUGGGGCUAAUACCGGAUAGGAGCUCCUGCUGCAUGGUGGGGGUUGGAAAGUUUCGGCGGUUGGGGAUGGACUCGCGGCUUAUCAGCUUGUUGGGGGGGUAGUGGCUUACCAAGGCUUUGACGGGUAGCCGGCCUGAGAGGGUGACCGGCCACAUUGGGACUGAGAUACGGCCCAGACUCCUACGGGAGGCAGCAGUGGGGAAUAUUGCACAAUGGGCGGAAGCCUGAUGCAGCAACGCCGCGUGCGGGAUGACGGCCUUCGGGUUGUAAACCGCUUUCGCCUGUGACGAAGCGUGAGUGACGGUAAUGGGUAAAGAAGCACCGGCUAACUACGUG
This 468-nucleotide ribosomal RNA is filed under the name uncultured bacterium. RNAcentral describes it as "partial 16S ribosomal RNA". It matches the Rfam family "Bacterial small subunit ribosomal RNA", at positions 28 to 507 of the family's 1533-position model. The record is from RNAcentral.